UGCCCCUGCCAUCUACAAACCCAAAUGACAAGGUGGUGAUCUUACCCAUCCCAUACUUCCAGAUUUACAGGGGUAAGAAGGGGCUUCACGAAUUCCCAAAUGGGUAAGAUCACCAAAAAAUAACACACUUCCACAUAUCUCAAAACAGACUCCAGCAACCAUUCACAGAGAUGUCUUCAAGGCAAGGUCUUGGUUUCUUCACACCUGUUGAUGAGCGAAGCCUCACCAUGACCUGUGAAGGAAAGAGGUCCUCCAGCUCCUCUGCCUCCAGGUAGGACAAGGAGAGGCAAGGAGAUCUGCCUGGAGCUGCAGGCAGCUGGUGACAGAGCCAGAAGCAGACAGCCCUGUUUCUGACCUCCAGGCCCACAUCCUUCUGCUUCCAGACCGUCCUUCUGUCACUGCAGAUUAGAUGGCUGAGCACUACAACACAGUGAGAGCAGAGGUAUAAAAUAACACAAGCAAAUGGCCGUGUUGGCUUUGCACUGUAGUUUCGUGGGCUUAGUAAUGCAUGCUCAGAUUUGUAUUUACCAAACAUCCUGUGUUAGGAUUGCCCCGGAGUCACUGGCCAUAUUUCUCUAUGCACCAGCCUGUAAUUUGUGAAAACACUACUUCUGCUUCUAUUUUUUGCGACGUGUUUCCUAUCAUUUCCUUCAUGGUUAUCAGGGCUGGGUAGUUCUGCAAGAGCUCAGUCAGCGUGAGAGGAACCAGCAGUAUGCAGGGAAAAUGACAGUAAUGGCAAACUUCAAAAGGUUCAGAGGUUCAGACAGAGGCGUAAGCUUAUCUGAACCUCUUUGGUGUGGAAAUUGAGACGGAGUCUCAUGAAAAAACCAACUUGCUCGUAAGACAUCUGGCAGAUCAGAGUUUCAGCUGGGUUUGAAGUAACUUGAGAGUGACCUUUCCUACACUGCUUCCCUAUUCCUCCUUCCUGUCCACUACGAAUGAGAAAUCACAGAAGCUCCUGAUGGUUUCAGUACUUGGGGGCAGGCUGCCCACUCCCCUGUCCUUUUUCCUUUGUUGUUUUACAGACACAUUAAGGGGCUGUGGCUGUAAGCAGCAAAAAUCCCAGCCAGCCAGAGUGUCCUUUUCAAGCCUUGUGAGAAUGUUUUGGGUGUUUUUGGAGUUUGAGAGAGGAAGCACACAGAAGGGUCAUUUUUCGCAGCCUGUGAGACCCCGGAAUUGCAGAUGA
This 1186-nucleotide long non-coding RNA is filed under the name Anas platyrhynchos platyrhynchos (common mallard). RNAcentral describes it as "lncRNA (ENSAPLG00000024124.1)". Lineage: Eukaryota; Metazoa; Chordata; Aves; Anseriformes; Anatidae. The record is from RNAcentral.